AAAGUAGCAUAUAUAAGCUUUUUU
RNAcentral lists this small nuclear RNA (24 nucleotides) under Arabidopsis thaliana (thale cress). RNAcentral's name for it is "snRNA_00926". The record is from RNAcentral. Lineage: Eukaryota; Viridiplantae; Streptophyta; Magnoliopsida; Brassicales; Brassicaceae.